AUUGAACGCUGGCGGCAUGCUUUACACAUGCAAGUCGAACGGUAACAGCACUUCGGUGGCUGACGAGUGGCGAACGGGUGAGUAAUACAUCGGAACGUGCCUAGUAGUGGGGGCUAACUACUCGAAAGAGUAGCUAAUACCGCAUGAGAUCUAAGGAUGAAAGCAGGGGACCUUCGGGCCUUGCGCUACUAGAGCGGCUGAUGGCAGAUUAGGUAGUUGGUGGGAUAAAAGCUUACCAAGCCGACGAUCUGUAGCUGGUCUGAGAGGACGACCAGCCACACUGGGACUGAGACACGGCCCAGACUCCUACGGGAGGCAGCAGUGGGGAAUUUUGGACAAGGGGCGCAAGCCUGAUCCAGCAAUGCCGCGUGCAGGAUGAAGGCCUUCGGGUUGUAAACUGCUUUUGUACGGAACGAAAAGCCCUCUUCUAAUACAGGAGGGUCAUGACGGUACCGUAAGAAUAAGCACCGGCUAACUACGUG
Molecule: ribosomal RNA, 482 nt
Filed under: uncultured bacterium
Lineage: Bacteria
Description: partial 16S ribosomal RNA
Rfam family: Bacterial small subunit ribosomal RNA
Source: RNAcentral